Ixodes scapularis (black-legged tick) is the source of this 68-nucleotide non-coding RNA. NCBI's taxonomy places the organism in Eukaryota, Metazoa, Arthropoda, Arachnida, Ixodida, Ixodidae. The record is from Rfam.
GUUAGCUCAAUUGGUAGAGCGCUCCACCUGUAAUGGAGAGGUCCCGGGUUCGAUACCCGGACCAGGCG